UGGUGGAGUGAUUUGUCUGGUUGAUUCCGUUAACGAACGAGAUCUUGGCCCUCCAAUGACAGUUCGAUCGACCUGUAGUCCAUGUUCAUGCAUUGGUUUCCAUUGGUUGUCUUUGUUUCAUGGAUGAGAUCGAUUUCUGUACUCAAGGGGACAACGCCUGUUUACAAGGCGUGGAAGUGCGAGUCAAUAGCA
RNAcentral lists this ribosomal RNA (192 nucleotides) under uncultured eukaryote. RNAcentral describes it as "partial 18S ribosomal RNA". It matches the Rfam family "Eukaryotic small subunit ribosomal RNA", at positions 1299 to 1458 of the family's 1831-position model. The record is from RNAcentral.